UUUGACCAGGCUGAGAACUUCUGCUGGAGGUGAUAGGCAUUCCUUAAAUGCCAGUGGCCAGAGGAAUAGAAAAUAUCUUCAUUUAACCUCCCAAGGAGUUGAACUGGCGCAUCAGAAGGGAGAAGGUGAAGAUGCCAGUACAAUUAAGUUCUACAAGGUCUGUCCUGACAAUGGUGAGAUUAUCCAUCACUUUUCGAAGGCCCUCCAAAUCUGUCUCCAAGGUUGUACGAUAGGCCCUUUCUGUGUCAUACCUGGAACCACAAAUCAAAGGUCUGCAUCUGAAGUCACUCUUACAGCACUGCUGGGACCCAGAAGAAGAUGCUGGAGCUGUCCCUGACGCCGGGAGAAGAUCCUUGAAUCUGGAGUAUUGUGAAAACCAGACAGGGCAUGUUGCCUGAGGCCUUAGCCUAGCACAAUGAAUUCUUCUACAAAAAAUGCAAGCACUCAAUAAAA
Long non-coding RNA from Pseudophryne corroboree (corroboree frog), 453 nucleotides. RefSeq lists it as uncharacterized. The transcript is spliced from 5 exons. NCBI's taxonomy places the organism in Eukaryota, Metazoa, Chordata, Amphibia, Anura, Myobatrachidae. The record is from RefSeq and is a predicted model, not a curated record.